Molecule: long non-coding RNA, 454 nt
Filed under: Numida meleagris (helmeted guineafowl)
Lineage: Eukaryota; Metazoa; Chordata; Aves; Galliformes; Numididae
Description: lncRNA (ENSNMEG00000008741.1)
Source: RNAcentral
UUAGGACCACAUCUGCUUUGGAAGACUGUAAACUCUAUUUAAAAGACUAUACUCAAAAUUGUAGUUUUAUUGUAGUCAAACUGUUCUUGAAGUCUAAUGAGCUGAUUCAGUUCUGCAAGGUACAGCUCAAUAAUGCCUAAUAAAAGCAUUGCUGUUGACCUUCCAGAGCCUGUACAGGAAUGGAAGCCCUUUUAGUGACAUCCAGCCUGGAGGAGAGCUGAGAUGUUGGUGGCACCUGGCUUUACAAGUGGGAAGAUUCUGUCAGCUGUUCCAUUAAAUACUCCCUGGGCCCUGUGGUGCUGGAGUUGAUGUUCUACCAAGCAGAGGACCGCUGACAGUGCCAGACAGAGAGGGUGGUUGUCCUUGGCAGCUGAGCUGUAAGUAGCUUUUUGUCAAAUCCUCUUGAGAAGGUUCUAUCCUAAAGUUUUUUUUUUUUUUUAAAUUGUUGUUGUUU